CUGGUUUGAGCUACCAACAGUGUUUUUUCUCAUCUUGAGCUUCUCAUUAUCUUGGCCUUUUGUUCUAGGCAACGUGAAUAGAGCGUGUGCUCCCCACUUGGGCUUGUGGCGAAUUAUCUGCAACCUGUCGCCAGGCUACCAACGCGAGAUAAGGUUCUGGCCAGACAGGCCAUCGUUAGGUGCGAUAAGAAACCGCGUGCGUUCGAUUGUCGUCUUGCGUCGGAAGCGAACGGUAAGAGAGCUCUCUAGCGUGCGACCAAAAGGUACCUCGCGUCGUUUAUUCUAUUAAUAUAUUUUCUUUCAGCGUUUUGUUUGUAAUUGUAUGCUUCAUCAGUUUAUUGAAUAAAUUGUUCUCUUGCCCCGGCUUUUCUCUCAAUUCCGUGAGAGUUUUUAUGCCGAGGCAAGUAGCUUUGUGCCGUGUAAAA
This 425-nucleotide long non-coding RNA is filed under the name Polistes fuscatus (common paper wasp). RNAcentral describes it as "uncharacterized LOC122526756". The record is from RNAcentral. Lineage: Eukaryota; Metazoa; Arthropoda; Insecta; Hymenoptera; Vespidae.